This is a long non-coding RNA of Heterocephalus glaber (naked mole-rat), 1739 nucleotides long. NCBI's taxonomy places the organism in Eukaryota, Metazoa, Chordata, Mammalia, Rodentia, Bathyergidae. The record is from Ensembl.
AUCAAAUUUAACAUUCUAAAAUGUUCACACUAAACUAGGAAAAAUAGCAUUUCUACUUUCAUAACUGACAAGUAUCCUUCUUUAGACUACAACACUAAAUCUUUGAAAUUCAAAAGGCAUCUUUGGAUAUGUAAAGAAUGGUGCUCCCUGGCUGAGUCUGCACCAACAAUGGAUAUCAAAGUGUUCUUGUUACUUUCAGACUAGGGUAUAGUUGCUGAGUGAAUACAGAAAAGUGAUAAAGAAAAUAUAUACGAAGAACUUCAAGAUAUUCAAAUAUAAAUCUAGUUUCCUUUAGUAUGUAUAUAUGUGUACAUAUUUGUGUGUAUAUAUAGAGUCUGCCAAAAAAAUGUAUACACACACUUCAAGAAAAGAAAAAUAGUGCGAUGUUUUUUCAACAGAUGGUGUUACCCUCGUAUGGGGGACCCUAGAGGAUGUCAUAUAUCACAGAAAACCCACUAUACUGCGGCCCUUAGAGAAGAAAUUGAAAUUGCAUGUGCAGCAAUCUUAGUGACCAAGGUUACCCAAACAGCAGUUGGCCAUACUAAUCAAUGUCUAGAAGCUGAUGGCCACCACUUUGAGCACUUCUAGUAGAGGCCAAAGGUAACUUGUAUUAAUCUCAUGAUGUCUCAAUAAAUUUAGUAUUAAAAUAUUUAUACAAGUUUUUCUUUUCCUGAAGUAUGUAUAACAUUUUGGGUGGACUCAGUAUAUGUGAAUAAACACAGAUGCACACACUUACAAAAUUUAUUCGCUAGUAACUACUUAGAGCUGGUUCCUAACUAAAAGCCAUGUUUUUGAUCCUCUCCAUAAAUCUUUCUCCAGUGAAAACACCUUCUCUCUGAAGCUCAUGAGAAUUCAAUUUGCAAGAGUCUUGUGGUAGGGAGUUCAAAUGUGCCUACAGAUAUUUAAAGCAGGACUCUUUCUAAAUAACAUAUUUUCUGUUCUUGAAGUAAGAACUGAAAUUGUAUUCUUGAUUACUUUCAGACCAUAAGCUACUACUCUCAUUGUGCUACAACAUGCAUGUGGGACCAAGGGGAUGAUUCAAACACACACAUAUAAUAGGAGUAGUAAUUGGUUGUGUUCAGCUGAGAGAAAGAGAGAGACAGGGAGGGUGGGGAACAAGAGAGAAAUAAUGAGAGAACAUGACAGAAAUAAUGAGAAUGGGGUGGGAGUGCUUCUUUUUUUCAAUCUGGCUCAAGAGUGAGAAAAAUCUAUUAUACUUUGUCAUAUCAGCUGUUUCUUCUAUAAAAAAUGAGUCAUGUGGGCCGGGGAUUUAGCUAGGUGGUUUCGUCGCCUGCUGCUCAAGUGCAAGGACCCGAGUUCGAUCCCCGGUACCAAAAAAAAAAAAGUCAUGUUAUGAUGGACCAUUGGAAUUGAAAUAAGAAAUGACUAUUAAAACUCCAACUAUAAGCAUGGAAGAUGGAAUACACAUUAGUCUAAAAAAACCUAAACAUACAAACUCAUUCAUAAGCUGGGGGGGGUGGCACAUGUCUGUAAUCCUAGCAUUUGGGAGGCUGAGGCAGGAGAAUCGCUACAAGUUCAAGGCCAUCCUGGGCUACAAUAGUGAGUUCAAGGACAGCCUGAACUACACAAUGGGACCCUGUCUCAAAAAAAAAAAAAAAACUAAAUAAAUUUAAAAAUAAAAACAACAACAUAUAUAAUCUAAAUGGAUUUGCCUUUCUACAAUAGCAUCUUCAUCAAAAGUUAAACAAAAUAAGCCAGAAUCAGAAAGUCAAACAUCA